CCUACGGGAGGCAGCAGUGGGGAAUCUUGCGCAAUGGGCGAAAGCCUGACGCAGCAACGCCGCGUGCGGGAAGAAGGCUUUCGGGCUGUAAACCGCUUUCAGCAGGAACGAAAAUGACGGUACCUGCAGAAGAAGGAGCGGCCAACUAUGUGCCAGCAGCCGCGGUGAUACAUAGACUUCAAGCGUUGUCCGGAUUUAUUGGGCGUAAAGAGUUCGUAGGCGGUCAAGUAAGUCGGGUGUGAAAAUUCUGGGCUCAACCCAGAGACGCCACCCGAUACUGCUUAACUUGAGUUCGAUAGGGGAGUGGGGAAUUCCUAGUGUAGCGGUGAAAUGCGCAGAUAUUAGGAGGAACACCGGUGGCGAAGGCGCCACUCUGGAUCGAUACUGACGCUGAGGAACGAAAGCAUGGGUAGCAAACAGGAUUAGAUACCCUGGUAGUCCAUGCCGUAAACGGUGGGCACUAGGUGUGGGUUUCUAUUAACGAAAUCCGCGCCGUCGCUAACGCAUUAAGUGCCCCGCCUGGGGGAGGUACGGUCGCGAGACGUAAACUACGAAAGGAAGUUAGUAACGGUCGUGAGACGUGCCGAACGGACGACGACGAGGGGAGGUUAGG
This 613-nucleotide ribosomal RNA is filed under the name uncultured bacterium. RNAcentral's name for it is "bacterial SSU rRNA". The stretch from base 1 to 520 matches the Rfam family "Bacterial small subunit ribosomal RNA", at positions 338 to 873 of the family's 1533-position model. The record is from RNAcentral.